RNAcentral lists this ribosomal RNA (518 nucleotides) under Porphyromonadaceae bacterium. Its description in RNAcentral is "partial 23S ribosomal RNA". It matches the Rfam family "Bacterial large subunit ribosomal RNA", at positions 1 to 522 of the family's 2925-position model. Lineage: Bacteria; Pseudomonadati; Bacteroidota; Bacteroidia; Bacteroidales; Porphyromonadaceae. The record is from RNAcentral.
AUAAGGUUAAGUUAAUAAGGGCGCACGGUGGAUGCCUUGGCACUAGGAGCCGAUGAAGGACGUGACAAACGACGAAAUGCCUUGGGGAGCUGUAAGUAAGCGAUGAUCCAGGGAUGUCCGAAUGGGGGAACCCAACAGGUACUACCUGUUACCCAUAUCUGUUAAGGAUAUGAGGAGGAAGACGCAGUGAACUGAAACAUCUAAGUAGCUGCAGGAAGAGAAAGCAAAAGCGAUUGCCUUAGUAGCGGCGAGCGAAACGGCAGGAGGGCAAACCGAAGAGUUUACUCUUCGGGGUUGUAGGACUGCAAUGUGGACUCAAAGAUUAUAGAAGAAUGACUUGGGAAGGUCAGCCAAAGAGAGUAAGAGCCUCGUAUUCGAAAUAGUCUUUAUACCUAGCAGUAUCCUGAGUACGGCGAGACACGAGAAAUCUCGUCGGAAUCUGGGAGGACCAUCUCCCAACCCUAAAUACUCUCUAGUGACCGAUAGUGAACCAGUACCGUGAGGGAAAGGUGAAAAGC